GGAGAAUGCUGGUAACAGAGCUUGCAGUGUUAAACACACAGACUUCCAAAUUGGUUAUUGAGGAGUCUACCAUUCACCUCACUGAAGCUGGGAGGCUAGUGCUUGACCAACUGUCAGCACCUUCAGAUAGCCAUUCACAGCCAAAUAGGGAAGACUCUGGUUUUCCCUAUGAGAAGUUGCAGCUGGUUGGGAACUGGGGUUCGU
Molecule: long non-coding RNA, 204 nt
Organism: Coregonus clupeaformis (lake whitefish)
Lineage: Eukaryota; Metazoa; Chordata; Actinopteri; Salmoniformes; Salmonidae
Exons: 3
Source: RefSeq, a predicted model, not a curated record